This is an RNA transcript of Delphinapterus leucas (beluga whale), 4921 nucleotides long. It is a transcript of the gene named DNA polymerase delta 3, accessory subunit, with no coding region annotated. Lineage: Eukaryota; Metazoa; Chordata; Mammalia; Artiodactyla; Monodontidae. The record is from RefSeq and is a predicted model, not a curated record.
GAGAAACGACCCAGGACCUGCGAGGGAGGAAAGACGUUUCCCGCCGGCGGGAGCUGCAGUUGAAGUGGCCAGGGGAGCUCGGAGGCGGCGGGGCCCGGCGCAGCGGCACCAUGGCGGACCAGUUUUAUCUGGAAAAUAUAGACGAGUUCGUCACGGACCAGAACAAGAUAGUGACAUACAAAUGGCUGAGCUAUACACUAGGAGUUCAUGUUAAUCAGGCCAAACAGAUGCUGUAUGAUUAUGUUGAAAGGAAGCGAAAGGAAAAUUCAGGAGCCCAACUGCAUGUCACUUAUUUAGUGUCUGGCAGUCUCAUUCAGAAUGGACAUUCCUGCCACAAGGUUGCAGUAGUGAGAGAAGAUAAAUUGGAAGCAGUGAAGUCCAAGCUAGCUGUGACUGCCAGUGUACAUGUGUACAGCAUCCAGAAAGCCAUGCUAAAGGACAGUGGGCCUCUGUUCAAUACCGACUAUGACAUCCUUAAAAGCAACUUGCAGAACUGCAGCAAGUUUAGUGCCAUCCAGUGUGCAGCUGCCGUCCCUAGAGCUCCUUCUGAAUCCUCAUCUUUUGAAAAGUUUGAGCAGUCAGAUCUUCCGGUAUCACCUGAGCCACAAGCUAGUAAUGAAUUGACCACCAAUGGUCAUGGCCCACCUAUCCCCAAACAGAGUUCCCAGCAGCCCAAAGGAAUCAUGGGCAUGUUUGCUUCUAAAGCUGCUUCUAAAACCCAAGAUGCCAACAAGGAAACCAAAACAGAGGCUAAAGAAGUAACGAAUGCAUCUUCGGUAGGCAACAAGCCAACAGGGAAAGGGAAUGCGAUAAGCAAUUUUUUUGGAAAAGCUGCUAUGAAUAAAAUUAAAGUCAAUUUGGAUUCAGAACAAGCAGUGAAAGAAGAAAAAAAAGUGGAGCAACCUCCACUGUCUGUCACUGAACCAAAGCUGGCAGCCCCUGUGGGCCUGAAGAAAUCUAGCAAAAAAGCAGAGCCUGUUAAGAUGCAGCAGAAGGAAAAAAAAAGGAAGCAAGUGGAGGUAUCUGAUGAUGAGACAAAAGAAACUGAAAACAUGAAGAAAAAGAGGAGAAGAAUCAAACUUCCUGAGUCUGAUAGCAGUGAAGAUGAAGUCAUACCAGACUCUCCUGGGGCUCAUGAAGCUGAGUCACCAUCCCCACCUCCUCCUGCUUCUUCAUCUCCUGAACCAGUGCCGAAGACUGAGCCAGAGCCUCCUUCUGUCAAGGGCUCAAGUGGAGAAAACAAAAGAAAACGAAAACGUGUGCUAAAAUCUAAAGCCUUUGUGGACGAGGAGGGCUGCAUAGUAACUGAAAAGGUCUACGAGAGUGAAUCCUGCACAGAUAGUGAAGAAGAGCUUAAGAUGAAGACUUCCUCUGUACAUAGGCCCCCCACCAUGACUCUGAAAAAGGAACCCAAAGAGGAACGAAAGGGCCCAAAGAAAGGAACUGCUGCUCUGGGCAAAGCCAAUAGACAAGUGUCCAUUACUGGCUUCUUCCAGAGGAAGUGAACUGCCAUCUCUGUUAGGUCCAGAGAUGUGGAGUGGUCAAGGGACAAGACCAAGACAUACAGACUCUCACUUACUGUUGAUAACUUGGAAGCACCUUCCUUUAUGGCUGGACAGUGAGCUCAGGGGAUGGAGGUGGUGUGGCGGUGACCUUGCACAGUGAGCUCUGGGGAAAGGAACACAGGCUCAGCUGCUGGAGUGACUCAUGACUUAACAGACGAGGGACGUCUGACUUGCUUCUUGCUCCUUCUGCCUUCGCCUGGUGUAUGUCGUAAGUGAUGCAGUCAGCCGUCUACUGUUUAAGGUUAGGAUUGUGACUGACCUUAGAUUAAUAGGAGCUUCUUUAGCAACUGUCACCCAGGGCCCUCCAGCCAGGCACCCCAUGGACUUGAUUAAAACCAGAGGUUUGGGAGAUUAGUCCCAGCAUUGCAUUACGUCUACAACUUGAGAAGGCUGAGGCUUUGUGCAGCAAGCUGAGUAAAGGUUGACACAUUCCAAACUCCUUUCUUUUUAAAAUGUAAAAGGAUGGAGAGAAGGGUGGAAAGGCUGGAUUUAACUUUACAAAAAACUUCUGGAGAGGAAUCCCUUUUAAAUGGUUAUUUUCGCCAUUGCCUCUAGUCAUUUUUCUAAAUAGAAAUGGAAAAUUAAAGAAAAAAAAAAGGAACAAUCCAGCCUUUUAAAAAAAAAUUAUCAUGCUGGGAUCUCUAAUUAAAUCCCAUUUUGAAUUGGAAAACUCUGGUGCUCGCGGAGUUCUGUCUUUGCAAGCAUAAUGCAAAUCCUGUGGUCACUGUGCCCAGUAUGCUGCCUACACUCUGAGCCGUCUGCAAGGCUUAUUGAGUAGUAAGUGCUGGCUGUUUCCUUUUUGUAAAAAAAAAAGAAACUCUACCAUGUUAUCCACAUGAGUUAAAUAAAUUUGAGAAGUUGUUUUAAAACAGUGCUUCAAACUGAUUGUCUGAUGAAUCUGUUACUUGACAGGAUGGCAACAGUGUAUGCAGUUAUUUAAACUCUGAAGAGGAACAAGGCUGGUUUUCAGUUUAUAUUGUUAAAACUGCAUACCCAUAGUCUGAGAUGGACAAGUUAUUUGCUGUCUUCAUCAUUUUUUCAGUCCUGUGGGAAAUCUUAGAUUCAGCCAACCUCAUUUUUUAGUUCCUUUAGAAGAAAAUCUAGUCCUGAUCUUGCACAUUGUGUUAGUCUGGCUUCACCACUUGCUGGCUCUGUGACCUUGGGCAGAUUUCUAAGCCUCAGAUUCUUUAUCAAAAUAGAGCUCAAACAAGUUACCAUGGGCCACCAAGAGUGAAGUAAUGUGUAUACAGAAUAAAUUCGGCACACGUAGGUGCUCUGCAAAUGAUGGCUUCCUUCUUGAUGUCAUAAAUGAUGCAGUCAGCCACGAGCUUCCUGAAAUGUUAUCAAGGAUAUGACCCAGAUGUUACACUCUUUCAAAAUAUUCAUUCUGGCUGUCAGUGUGGUCAAAGAGGGAAGAUAGUUACCUUAUUUUAUGAAAGGUUUUAGAGAGUAUAUUUUCUUAUUGAGAGAAAGUGAGAUUCGUAGACGGCUAUAUUUACUAUUCAUUAAAACAUUUAUUGUGUAUCUCCUAUAUGUCACGCUUCUGUCCUGAGCACUAGAAGGUAGAAUCCUAGAAUUUGGCACUUGUCCUCAGGAACUAGUGGAAGGGACAAGAAAGUAAAGUGAAAUCAUAGCAUCACAUGGUGAGUGCAAUGAUAAAUAAGCGCAGGGUCCUCAGAGAGCUCAUAGGAGGGGGGGUGUUGAGGACAUCUUCCUGAAGGAGAGAAAGCCAAGCAGUUUUUCUGAAGGAUGAGUAGGAUUUUACCAAGCAAAGAGGAAUGGAAAGGAUUUUCCAGGUAGAGGAACGUGACUUUUGGGGAGAAAUGGACUAUCAGAAUUUGGGAAUAGGGAGGGAAAUAUAUUGGGAAGUGAAGUUGGGGUCCUGCUAAGGAGUUUGGAUUUUAUUUGAAGACUAUGAGGGCCAAUCAAAGAAUUUUAAGAAGAGGAGUAACAUUAGAAGUUGAUUUUUAUUUCAGCGUGACAGCUGGCAUUUUCUUUGACUUUGUGUGCCAUAUAGGGAGUGUUUCUACCCAUGCUUGCCCAUCGUAUCUUAGUUCUAGUAGUAUUCAAAUUAAAGUUCUAAUGGAAUUAAAGAAAAAUGUUCUGGUUAAAGUAAGACUGCUUAAUUCUGGCAGUCAGGGUAGGUAGUUGCAGUAUUUUCCCUUGCCUCCCCCCAUCAAAGCAGCUUUCUCUAGCAGAAAUGAUUUCAGUUUUUUAAAAGUGAUUUCAAAAACUGGUAGUUCUUCUCUGACACUCUCAAUGAUAUGAGCCUCUAAUCAUUUCCCUGAAAAAAAACGGAGGAGGACGAGUGGAACAGUUCUAUUCCUUUUCUUUGUUUCUCUAAGAAGACAUUAGUUAUUAUACAGGAGAGAGCUGAAGAGAAGGGCCAUAUAAGGAAACGAAAUAGUUGCUCCAGGACCUGAGUAGAGUGAGUGCAUAAUAAUGUAUUUGCCAGAAACGUACUCUGUGUCAAGACUCGUUUUGGUAAACUUGUCUCCUUUCAUUGGUUCCGGGAUCUCAGUAUGCUGUAAUGCAGCUUUUUACCACCACAAAACAUUCUGGGGCUGCCUCGUUUUGUUGUGAGAAGGCAGUAUUGCUUUUUGAGUUAUUACCCUGGCGGCUCUGUAAAUUAGCCCAUGCUGUCACUAUGCCCUCUCUGAAGGGCACGUUGUACCCAAAUGACUGCAUUUAGGAUGGACUCUUGCCACUCCCUGCUGCAUGACACUUCUCACCAUUUGUAUCUGUGUCCAGUUUUUUUGUGUUCUUAAGUGUGGGCCACCCACAGAUUGCCACCCAGGCUCUUUAGCCUGAGAAACUUGGGAAGGCUUCUGAUCCAAACCCACCUUAACUCUAGAAUUCCCCCUCAUUUCAAACCCUAAAUAUCAUGUGGCUCCUCCGCCACCUCUCCCCUUUUUUCUCAUUUGCUUUUGCCAGACUCCUUGUUUCUUGAGGCUUCACUUUGGCUUCUCCCCCUCUUUUUUUUUUUAAUAUUCAAAGUUCUUCACAGCUAGUCCUUCUAUAACUUCUUUUUUUUUCAGUCUUUUAAGGCUUUCUUUCUCAAGGUUUUUAUGUCGUUUAUUGAACUGCUCUUGAAGAAUGGAAAAACCACAUUGUUUAGCAUCUACUUUGGGUCAUUCAAAUCCAGAGGGUCAAACAGUUGUUGAAUACUAGUUAUGUUUAGUCCUGGAUAAGGUACUUGAGGGAUUGCAAGAGCUCAGAGGCUAUCAUUAUGGAGUGGAGGACAGGCACACUAAAUAGCGUUAGAUAGCAACUGAGAUGAUGCUUAGAUGAGUGGUAAGAGGGACUUAAUUCAGAAGAGAACCUGGAUAAUCAUAAUGGGGGAAAAUUUAUAGUCC